This 210-nucleotide small RNA is filed under the name Sinorhizobium meliloti 2011. RNAcentral describes it as "putative ncRNA". Lineage: Bacteria; Pseudomonadati; Pseudomonadota; Alphaproteobacteria; Hyphomicrobiales; Rhizobiaceae. The record is from RNAcentral.
AUGGCUACGAAGAAGGACGCGAACGCUCGCUCAUACACUGCACAUGAUUGCGGCCUUUGGGUGGCGACAACUCCAUUGCAGUCGGGUACCCGCGCGGAGUUAGAGCGUUUUAGUGUUUCAUCAAGAUACUCAACGCUCUAACCUCUUGAAAUGGCGCACUUCCGGACGGAAAACCGUUACAUGCUUUUUCUGGAAGUGCUCUCGCGCCAC